UACGAAGGGUGCAGGCGUUACUCGGAAUUACUGGGCGUAAAGCGUGCGUAGGUGGUUUGUUAAGUCUGUUGUGAAAGCCCCGGGCUCAACCUGGGAAUGGCAAUGGAUACUGGCAAGCUAGAGUGCGGUAGAGGGUAGUGGAAUUCCCGGUGUAGCGGUGAAAUGCGCAGAUAUCAGGAGGAACACCGGUGGCGAAGGCGGUCUGCUGGGCAGUUGCUGACACUGAGGCGCGACAGCGUGGGGAGCAAACAGG
RNAcentral lists this ribosomal RNA (253 nucleotides) under uncultured bacterium. RNAcentral describes it as "partial 16S ribosomal RNA". It matches the Rfam family "Bacterial small subunit ribosomal RNA", at positions 524 to 776 of the family's 1533-position model. The record is from RNAcentral.